GACGAACGCUGGCGGCGUGCUUAACACAUGCAAGUCGAACGGAAAGGCCCCUUUGGGGGUACUCGAGUGGCGAACGGGUGCGUAACACGUGAGUAACCUGCCCUUGACUUCGGGAUAACUUCAGGAAACUGGGGCUAAUACCGGAUAGGAAUCCUUGCUGCAUGGUGGGGGUUGGAAAGCUUCGGCGGUUUUGGAUGGACUCGCGGCUUAUCAGCUUGUUGGUGGGGUAGUGGCUUACCAAGGCUUUGACGGGUAGCCGGCCUGAGAGGGCGACCGGCCACAUUGGGACUGAGAUACGGCCCAGACUCCUACGGGAGGCAGCAGUGGGGAAUAUUGCACAAUGGGCGGAAGCCGGAUGCAGCAACGCCGCGUGGGAUGACGGCCUUCGGGUUGUAAACCGCUUUCAGCAGGGGCGAAGCUUGUGGUGACGGUACCUGCAGAAGAAGCACCGGCUAACUACGUG
Molecule: ribosomal RNA, 463 nt
Filed under: uncultured bacterium
Lineage: Bacteria
Description: partial 16S ribosomal RNA
Rfam family: Bacterial small subunit ribosomal RNA
Source: RNAcentral